This 301-nucleotide ribosomal RNA is filed under the name uncultured bacterium. Its description in RNAcentral is "partial 16S ribosomal RNA". It matches the Rfam family "Bacterial small subunit ribosomal RNA", at positions 509 to 807 of the family's 1533-position model. The record is from RNAcentral.
CAGCAGCCGCGGUAAUACAGAGGGUGCGAGCGUUAAUCGGAUUUACUGGGCGUAAAGCGUGCGUAGGUGGUGGUUUAAGUCCGUUGUGAAAGCCCUGGGCUCAACCUGGGAAUUGCAGUGGAUACUGGGUCACUAGAGUGUGGUAGAGGAUAGUGGAAUUUCCGGUGUAGCAGUGAAAUGCGUAGAGAUCGGAAGGAACAUCUGUGGCGAAGGCGACUAUCUGGGCCAACACUGACACUGAGGCACGAAAGCGUGGGGAGCAAACAGGAUUAGAUACCCGUGUAGUCCCUGUCUCUUAUAC